UGGGGGGUGGUGUAACUGGUAGCACUAGGGCUUUUGGUGCCUUCAGUACGGGUUCGAGUCCUGUCCCCCCAGCCA
This 75-nucleotide transfer RNA is filed under the name Acidimicrobiia bacterium. Its description in RNAcentral is "tRNA-Gln". It matches the Rfam family "tRNA". From Rfam's summary of the family: Transfer RNA (tRNA) molecules are approximately 80 nucleotides in length. Their secondary structure includes four short double-helical elements and three loops (D, anti-codon, and T loops). RNAcentral also lists the same sequence under 1 other name. Lineage: Bacteria; Bacillati; Actinomycetota; Acidimicrobiia. The record is from RNAcentral.